This 651-nucleotide small RNA is filed under the name Pongo abelii (Sumatran orangutan). RNAcentral's name for it is "retained intron". The record is from RNAcentral. Lineage: Eukaryota; Metazoa; Chordata; Mammalia; Primates; Hominidae.
UGCUGGGAUUACAGGCGUGAGCCACCACACACAGCGAAAGUUUUCCAAAAUGAUUUUUUUUUUCCUGUUGUAGUUCGAUACCUCAAUGCCUAUACUGGAAUAGUGCUACUUCGAUGCAGAAAAGAAUUCUAUCAGCUUGUGUGGUCAGCUCUUCCCUUCAUCACAUACUUGGAGAACAAAGGACACCGUUACCCAUGCUUUUUCAACACGUUACAUGUGGGAGGUAGGAGUGAUGUGGUAUGGCUACUGAUUUUCAAUUGGUGACACGUUCACAGUUCAGUCUAGACUGGUGGGUGGGUCUUCCUGCUGUCCCGCUAACAAGACACUUCCCCCUACCUCUGAAAGUCUGUAAGGUCGAGACCUUUCACAAGCUGUUGACCACAGUAACUCAUAUGCCAGGUACAAUAAGAACAUGUCAGAAGUUCCUAAUUCGGUACAACAGGAGACAGCUGUUGAUCUUGUUGCAGAACUGCACUGAUGAAGGAGAGCGGGAAGCUAUCCAGAAAUCUGUGACAAGAAGCUGCUUACUAGAGGAGGAGGAGUCAGGUGAGGAGGCUGCAGAAGCAAUGGAGUGAACCUCUGCUCCCCACACAGCUGGCUACACUGCUCAGGCUUCAGGCCCACUUGUUGAACAGAACAAUUUGGGUAGCA